RNAcentral lists this ribosomal RNA (294 nucleotides) under Triticum aestivum (bread wheat). Its description in RNAcentral is "partial small subunit ribosomal RNA". The record is from RNAcentral. Lineage: Eukaryota; Viridiplantae; Streptophyta; Magnoliopsida; Poales; Poaceae.
AUGUUGGAUGGUCAAUUACUGCAUAUGCAUUGUGCCGCUCACAUAUUAAACUUAAUUGUAAAAGAUGGAAUGAGUGUCUUAGAGAAAGGUAUAGAGAGGUUGCGAGACAGUGUUGCGUUUUGGUCAGCCACACCGAAAAGGCAUGAGAAGUUUGAAAAGAUGGCAAAAACAUUAAACAUAGAGUAUAACAAAAGGUUAACUCUUGAUUGUAAGACUAGAUGGAAUUCAACUUAUACCAUGAUUAGCAUUGAAGUAGAAUACAUAGAGAUAUUUGAAAAAUUAAAGGCAUGUUAA